This 253-nucleotide ribosomal RNA is filed under the name uncultured bacterium. Its description in RNAcentral is "partial 16S ribosomal RNA". It matches the Rfam family "Bacterial small subunit ribosomal RNA", at positions 524 to 776 of the family's 1533-position model. The record is from RNAcentral.
GACGUAGGGGGCCAGCGUUGCUCGGAAUUACUGGGCGUAAAGGGUUCGUAGGCGGUGCGGCAAGUCGGGAGUGAAAUCUCUGGGCUUAACUCAGGGGCUGCUUCCGAAACUGCCGUGCUUGAGUGCGGGAGAGGCGAGUGGAAUUGCAGGUGUAGCGGUGAAAUGCGUAGAUAUCAGGAGGAACACCGGUGGCGAAGGCGGGUCUCUGGGAAGUAACUGACGCUGAGAAGCGAAAGCGUGGGUAGCGAACAGG